Molecule: long non-coding RNA, 573 nt
Organism: Cyprinus carpio (common carp)
Lineage: Eukaryota; Metazoa; Chordata; Actinopteri; Cypriniformes; Cyprinidae
Source: Ensembl
UAUUCAGACUCUUAAUGCAACUGUAACUCCCUGAAUUGGGUGAUAAUGGCUGUGAAACUCUGUGUGUUCCGCUAGCUCGACAAAAUACAGCAGGUGAGCAGGGGAACUGACCCCAUCGUUUUGUCAAGGGGGUAAUACUAAUCAAGGAUGUAAACACAAAUUUAGUAAUGAGGUGACCAAAGUCAUUAAUGAAUCAACUAGUUGUUGUAUUUAUUUAUUUUUUUACAGCUGACUAAGUUGACACUGACAGAGAGGGUCUGUUAGUGAAGUUUGUGAUCAGUUGUUAGGUAACAUUCUGGCUCUAUGAAGCUGAAGAGACAAUUCUGAAUGCUUUUCCUCAAAGCUAGAGAUAAAUAAGUCCGGUCAAACCAUUAACUGUGACCAGUGGACUAAAGUUAAGACUGCCUCUACAUCAUCUGCCUAUAAUGGUGUCAACUUGAUUCUCAGGAAGAAGAUUGGUCACUGGUGAUUCGAUGGCCUACGACUGAGACACUAUGACCACAAAAUAUUGAAAUGGUACCCUGCUGCCUGUUUCACACUGAGAUUGGUCCAUGGAUUGGUUCAGAUCAUACC